RNAcentral lists this ribosomal RNA (322 nucleotides) under Cirolana rugicauda. RNAcentral describes it as "partial 12S ribosomal RNA". The record is from RNAcentral. Lineage: Eukaryota; Metazoa; Arthropoda; Malacostraca; Isopoda; Cirolanidae.
ACCCNAUUAUUCUACAAAGAAGAAAAGUAAAGGUAGUAGGUGAUUAAGUUUUUGAAACCUAAAGGAUUUGGCGGCAUCUUAAGUAAUUUAGGGAGCCUGUCUUUGGAUCGUUACUACGCGUUUUACCUUGCCUGUAAUUUGCUUAUAUAUCGCCGUUAAUUUCAAAGAGAGAGUUUAAGGGAGUGGAAGUUUUAUUCUGAAUAUCAGGUCAACGUAUAGCAUUUUAAGGGUAGGAUUGGCUMCAGUAUAAUUAUGCGGAGUUAACAUGUAAUAAGUUCUYUCACAAUGGGCCCGUCAGUCUAUCAUAUCGCCCAACRCUCUC